CACUCUUGUUUUCUUCAGAUCGUAUAAAUCUUUCGCCUUUUUAAUAAAGAUUUCCGUGGAGAGGAACAACAAGAGUUUGACUCAAAUUAAGGCUGCCGUUCAGUGUCCCACAUAAUAAAGGCG
RNAcentral lists this small nuclear RNA (123 nucleotides) under Kryptolebias marmoratus (mangrove rivulus). Its description in RNAcentral is "U5 spliceosomal RNA (ENSKMAG00000009598.1)". It matches the Rfam family "U5 spliceosomal RNA". From Rfam's summary of the family: U5 RNA is a component of both types of known spliceosome. The precise function of this molecule is unknown, though it is known that the 5' loop is required for splice site selection and p220 binding, and that both the 3' stem-loop and the Sm site are important for Sm protein binding and cap methylation. The record is from RNAcentral. Lineage: Eukaryota; Metazoa; Chordata; Actinopteri; Cyprinodontiformes; Rivulidae.